Molecule: long non-coding RNA, 634 nt
Organism: Cydia splendana
Lineage: Eukaryota; Metazoa; Arthropoda; Insecta; Lepidoptera; Tortricidae
Exons: 2
Source: RefSeq, a predicted model, not a curated record
UAAUAGCAAAAAAUGCAGAAAAAAAUUAUCGCUGGUUUAGGCGGUAUUUAGAUAUUUAAUUUUAACUAAUUUUAAUUUGAGAAGGAGUAGCUAAAUUUCGUCAACCCAUCUAAGAACUAUUUGGCUCAGUUGGUAAACGUUCGCUUUUUCUGUUUGCAGUUUUUCUGUUUGGGUCUGGGUUCGAUCCCCAGUAAUUGUAUGCUGGGAUAUUAUAACUUUUUGUAUUUUUUUACACAUAAAUUUCGUAUUGUUUUUCUUUAAUUUACUAUACACCGUGUUUUUAUUGAAUUCCGUUAACUUCGGGGUAUAGUUAAGUACGUUUAUAAGAACUAAAUGGCAUAGUUAAUUUUCAAAAAAAAAUUUUUUUUUGUUUUCUUUUUUGUUUUUUUUUUUGUUUAAAAAGUAAUUAAAUGUAGCAUAUAGCGUUGUUGUAACACGGGCAUUACAUUUAACUCAACCAAACAAUUGAAAUCUGUGACAUAUCAAUGUCAUUUCGUACAUCAAUCGACCGAGAUUGUACUUAAGUUUAGUAGCAAAUGUGUUAGAACAUAUAAACCUAUCAGGUUGUAAACCUUACGCCAUGAGCUGGCGACUAUUUUGUUUUGUCUGUGGUUUUUCUAUUUUGUCAGUUUAC